GACGAACGCUGGCGGCGUGCUUAACACAUGCAAGUCGAGCGGCAGCGCGGGGCAACCUGGCGGCGAGCGGCGAACGGGUGAGUAAUGCAUCGGAACAUGUCCAUGUCGUGGGGGAUAGCCCGGCGAAAGCCGGAUUAAUACCGCAUACGCCCGAGAGGGGAAAGUGGGGACCGCAAGGCCUCACGCGAUUGGGUUGGCCGAUGUCCGAUUAGCUAGUUGGCGGGGUAAGAGCCCACCAAGGCGAUGAUCGGUAGCUGGUCUGAGAGGAUGAUCAGCCACACUGGGACUGAGACACGGCCCAGACUCCUACGGGAGGCAGCAGUGGGAAUUUUGGACAAUGGGGCAACCCUGAUCCAGCCAUUCCGCGUGAGUGAAGAAGGCCUCGG
This 386-nucleotide ribosomal RNA is filed under the name uncultured bacterium. Its description in RNAcentral is "bacterial SSU rRNA". It matches the Rfam family "Bacterial small subunit ribosomal RNA", at positions 28 to 420 of the family's 1533-position model. The record is from RNAcentral.